GACGAACGCUGGCGGCGUGCUUAACACAUGCAAGUCGAACGCUGAAGCUCAGCUUUUGUUGGGUGGAUGAGUGGCGAACGGGUGAGUAACACGUGAGUAACCUGCCUCCUUCUUUGGGAUAACGCCCGGAAACGGGUGCUAAUACUGGAUAUUCACUGGUCUUCGCAUGGGGGUUGGUGGAAAGGGUUUUUCUGGUGGGGGAUGGGCUCGCGGCCUAUCAGCUUGUUGGUGGGGUGAUGGCCUACCAAGGCUUUGACGGGUAGCCGGCCUGAGAGGGUGACCGGUCACAUUGGGACUGAGAUACGGCCCAGACUCCUGCGGGAGGCAGCAGUGGGGAAUAUUGCACGAUGGGCGCAAGCCUGAUGCAGCGACGCCGCGUGAGGGAUGGAGGGCUUCGGGUUGUGAACCUCUUUCGCUCAUGGUCAAGCCGCAACAAUGGUUGUGGUGAGGGUAGUGGGUAAAGAAGCGCCGGCUAACUACGUG
Molecule: ribosomal RNA, 483 nt
Filed under: uncultured bacterium
Lineage: Bacteria
Description: partial 16S ribosomal RNA
Rfam family: Bacterial small subunit ribosomal RNA
Source: RNAcentral